AUACGGAGGGGGCUAGCGUUGUUCGGAAUUACUGGGCGUAAAGCGUACGCAGGCGGAUAUUUAAGUUAGAGGUGAAAUCCCAGGGCUCAACCCUGGAACUGCCUUUAAAACUGGGUAUCUAGAGUUAUGGAGAGGUAAGUGGAAUUCCUAGUGUAGAGGUGAAAUUCGUAGAUAUUAGGAGGAACACCAGAGGCGAAGGCGGCUUACUGGACAUAUACUGACGCUGAGGUACGAAAGUGUGGGGAGCGAACGGGAUUAGAUACCCUUGUAGUCC
Molecule: ribosomal RNA, 274 nt
Filed under: uncultured bacterium
Lineage: Bacteria
Description: partial 16S ribosomal RNA
Rfam family: Bacterial small subunit ribosomal RNA
Source: RNAcentral